Molecule: microRNA precursor, 80 nt
Filed under: Columba livia (rock pigeon)
Lineage: Eukaryota; Metazoa; Chordata; Aves; Columbiformes; Columbidae
Description: microRNA cli-mir-148b precursor
Gene: cli-mir-148b
Rfam family: mir-148/mir-152 microRNA precursor family
About the family: The hairpin precursors (represented here) are predicted based on base pairing and cross-species conservation -- their extents are not known. In this case the mature sequence is excised from the 3' arm of the hairpin.
Source: miRBase by way of RNAcentral
GCGCCCGGGGCGAGGUUCUGUCCUACACUCCGGCUGUAGCUACAGACAGUCAGUGCAUCACAGAACUUGGUCCCGGGAGC